This 301-nucleotide ribosomal RNA is filed under the name uncultured bacterium. RNAcentral's name for it is "partial 16S ribosomal RNA". It matches the Rfam family "Bacterial small subunit ribosomal RNA", at positions 509 to 807 of the family's 1533-position model. The record is from RNAcentral.
CAGCCGCCGCGGGAAUACGAAGGGGGCUAGCGUUGUUCGGAUUUACUGGGCGUAAGGGGCGCGUAGGCGGACUGAUAAGUCAGGGGUGAAAUCCCAAGGCUCAACCUUGGAACUGCCUUUGAUACUGUUUGUCAUGAGUUCGAGAGAGGUAAGUGGAACUGCGAGUGUAGAGGUGAAAUUCGUAGAUAUUCGCAAGAACACCAGUGGCGAAGGCGGCUUACCGGCUCGAAACUGACGCUGAGGCGCGAAAGCGUGGGGAGCAAACAGGAUUAGAUACCCGAGUAGUCCCUGUCUCUUAUAC